GUGUCUUAGUGGCAUUGGGACUUCCUAAUAAUUAUUUCACCUUGUCAUCGAGUCCUGCUUUCGAUAAGCGUUGGUACCAGAAGCUAGCAAAGUAUCUGUCUCUGCUUUAAAAUAGAGGUAUUCUAAAAUACCUCUUUUUCAUUAUAUAUAUAUUUACUUAAAUCUUAUUUAAAAAAGUAAAAAAUUAUCUUUGAUUUUCGUUGAAAAUUUAUUAAUUCGAUUGAAUAUAAAAUUUUCAUACCCUUUUGUCCAUCUCUUGCUUCCAUUUUACAAGUCAAAUUAGGGGACUCUCUUGAGAUAAUGAUAUAUACAGUUCAUUAAUUAGUUUUUAAAAUAUAACUUGUUAAUAUUUGAUUUUAAAUUAUAACUCAACGCAGUUUAAUUCAAUUUAAAUUUAACAGAAUUUUGGUAUAUUCUACUCAUUUGGUUGGCCUCUCUUGUUGUUGGAGAAAAAGGUCACGGGCUCAAUUCUAAAGUUAUAUAUAUCAUACAUUUAUAUGAAUUAUGACCGUCAUGUUGUAGUUUGGCAAGUCAUGAGUGUGCUUUAUGCGUCUAGUUGUCUGAGUUCUAAUUAAUAAGAAUAUGAAUAAUAAUUUGGUGUACUUAGGGAUACAUUAUAUCAUUUCUUUUGGAACUAUUUUAACAACAAUGAUGGCAUGUCAUGGUGCAUAGUUUGGAGUGCUUCAGCAAGUAUGAAGGUUUCGGAAGAAACAAAGGAAACAGAGUCUUCUAUCAUCAAAACUAAUAUUACGAGUUAUACAAGUUUUUACCUUAAAGUAAUACUGUGUAUAGUUCAAUCAUCAGAAGCUGUUAUGAUUAGAAGCUCAUGGUGAAUGCAAAUUGCAGUAACAUUGUGAGAGACCGGCCUUCUAAGAUUCGAACAUAGGUUUUGGUUUCAUAAUCCCACCCCUAUUAACUUAUAAUUUUUGCAAAAAAAAUAUAAAACACAGUGAAAAAAAAAAUCAAUGUUUCACAGCCCAUACCCCGGGGUUGAUCUGGAAUUGAGCCUUAUAUGAGCCUUAAAAUGCCGUACACAAUAAUGCAUAUCAGUAAAAGCAGAGAGGAAUCGAUUGAAAGCUACAUGUCAAAGAUACAGAGAAGAAACAAUAUCUACAUUCAUUACAUACAGAUUAAAACACCAAAAAUCAAAGAAAAGAAAAAGUAUUCCAACAAUAAUUAUGUCUCUAAUAUUUAUGAGCUUAGUUACAAUUUCUUUUGGGUCGAUCCUCUAGUAAUUCACUUUGUGCAUUCAGGGUAUGUUUACUUCUUAAAUUAGGGAAUGAGAAUGAGGAAUUAUUACCUUUGUGUGUAUUUAUUUAUAAAAAAAUGAAUCAAUGAAUGAGAAUUAAAAUGGUGAUAACCACUAAAUUUAAAAAUAAGAAAUGAAAAACUCAUUUCCAUAAGUAUACAAGAUAGUAGUAGAACAACAACAACUACUACUAAGGAAUUUUAUAAACUUAUAACAAUCUAUUCCGAUUCUGAUAAACACAUCAAUGGAAGUACAUUUCAUUAUGAUUUUUAUUCAUACAACUUAAGUAAACAACUUAUUUUGAUUUAUAUUUCUUAUUUCAAUUCAAAUAUAUUCCAAUUACCACGAAGUAAACACAGCAGUAGCGAAAGUCAAGACUAAAGUGUCGCGGGCAUAGAUUUUAAUAGUGAUAAGUAAUAUUUAUCUUUAACAUUAGUUGAGUGAGUGCAAUUAGUAUUUAGAAUGGGUGUAAAGAAAGUACAACGAAAAAUGUAAUGUGCAAUUAAUUUCUGUUUAUCGCGAUCUUGCUCUUAGUUUUGAAAUCUAAUCCCAAAAAUUACGAUACACCUAUGAGUACACAAACAUAGCCCAGAAACGACGUUGCUUCUUCUUCUCCCUCAUCUGUUGUUGCUGCACGUUGCUUCUUCUUCUUCACUCAAUUUUUUUCAACAUCAUGAAUCUGCGGUACUUUUUAUACUUUUUUCACCAGAUUUUUAUCUCAUUAAAAGAGAAUUUUGGGCGUACGAUUAUUAGGGUUACAUUUGUUUGAUCAAAGUUGAAAUUUCCAUUAAUAUUUGAAAUUAAUUGGUGAAUUAAAUUUAUGAUCCGUGUGUGAAUUAUUGAAAUUAACUCUUCCAAAACUUUUUUUUUCUAAAUUUUAUUGCGGGCUGAUUUAGAGUUGAUUAAUCUUAGGGGUCUUUUGUAAUAUUUUUAAAGUUUAGGUCGCUCUAUAAUUAGAUGUGAGCUCUAAGAUUAAUAUUUAAUUAAAUGUGAGCUCUAAGAUUAAUAUUUUCUAUAGACUAAUGCUUUCUAAACACUAAUAAAGACAUAGAUGAGAUGAGAGAAUAGAGAUCGAUUCCUUUAGUUUAAGUUAGGACAUUAGGCUUAGGCACGCUACAUGCACGUUUACAUUUAUUCACUAAUAUAUUUUUAGGCUUAUAUAUUUUUAAUUAAAAUUUAAAAAAUAUUUUUAAAAAAAUGCAAGUCUGAAUACCCAUGCUGUUAUGCACUAAAUAUUUGGCAUAUACCAAACACACCGGCAACUUCGUAUGGGUUUUAGUUUAAGAUACCAUACCCGCCCGCAACACACAAAAUUACCCAUAAAGAGUAGGCUUUGGCGGGCGGAUUUGGUUGGGUUUGUAUGUUUGUAGGUACCAUUGCCAUCCCUAGUUCUAGAAGAGAUGACAAGUUGCCUAUUUUUGCCUUCAGCUACAACCUUCUGUGAACUGAGCAUUCGAGUGGAAAUGUACCAAAUACUAUCUUAGACGAUGGCCUCGGGAGGUCUAUUGCCAAAACAUAGAAAACUAAAAACUUAGAUCCUAAUAUAUAAACCGGCAAAGUGAAUUUGAUAUUUGUCAAUUUAUGUACACACACAUUAAUCAAAACUAUUUAUUGAAAAAAAAAAGAUUUUUUCCAAUCUUUUCUCAUGUUAAUUAGAUUUAUAAGGGCUUGCUUUUUAUUCACAUCACUUGAGAUUAAAAAAAAAUUGAGAUAUAUAUAUAUAUAUAUAUAUAUAUAUAUAUAUAUAUAUAUAUAUAUAUAUUACUUAAUCAAACCAUAUAUACUUUGCAUGUGAAUUAAUGGAAAAACAAAUAUAAUAUUUUUUAAGAAUAAAUAGAAAAAAUUGAUAUAACUUAACACCACCUCUCGUUAUGGUCUUGAUGGCAUGGUGCUUGCUUGUUCGCCAUGUCGUCAAGGCCUGUCUUCGAGAAGCGUCGGUACCAGAAGCUACAAUAGAAACCAAAACAAAAUGCAAGUACCUGUAUGUUCUGCUUUGAAAUAGAGGUAUUCUAAAAUACCUCUCUUCUAUCCGAAAAAAAUAAUAAUAAUAAGGAAAAAUAACAAAUUUCCAUAUGUCAUACCAUGACAUCCUUUCUUUCUUUUUUUGGUGUUCAUUAUUUCAAAAUACCAAAGCAUCUUUUCCAAAACAAGCACCUCAUCAACUUGUUGAUAAUCAGAAAUUCUUUAUCAUCAAUUCAUUGCCAGAUUAAGCAUUACAGGAAACUAAGCGCCAUCAUGCUGUUGUCCAUGUCUUCAAUUAAUCCAUCAUUAUUUUCCUAAAAACAAGUAAACAACAAAGACUAAGCGACAAAUAAGUAAACAUCCAACUAAAGCUGUUUUUUUUUACAAUUUUGCCUUUCCCAUUCAAUUGCAGGCGCUCUUUUUGUAUCAUACGGAACUUCAAUUUAAAAGUAAUUUGACACGGUUUAUAAUCCAUUUAGCAUGGUUUUAAUUUUUGAGAACAGCAACAGCUGGUGGCCAGUUCUAGGGAUGGCAAUUGUGCCCACAAACCCGAAAAUUUGUCCAAACCCACCCGCCAAAAUCUGCCCGCUACGGAUAAUCUUGUGGGUUGCGGGCGAGUUUGGUAUUACAAAUUGAAACCCGCACUUAGAUGCGGGUGGGUUUGGUAUUAAUCCAAUAUCUGACGGAUACCCGCAUGGAUAUCCGCUAGACCCGUAAUUUUUUAAAUAUUUUUAAUUUAAUUUUAAUUGAAAAAAAUAUUUAAAUCUAAAAAAUAUAUAAACAACAUAAUACAAUUAUGAAAAGUACCAAAUAACCAAAGUGUUUUUGUAUUGACUAUUUUUCUUUAACUUAAUGCAUGAAUUAUUUCAUCAUUAUAAACUUUUUUUGGAUUAAUAUUUGAAAAUUAUUAUUCUUUGGAAAAUAUUAAUUUUAAACAUUAUCGUAGGCAUCAUGUUAGAUAGGUGUGCUAAUGAUGGUGAAUGAAAUGGAAAUAUUCUCUUUGAGCUUGUGUUGAAUGAUAAUAUGAAAUGUAAUUGUUAUUUUUAGAUGUUAGUUUGUGGGUUUUUUUAGUGUAUUUGUGUAUUUUAUACUUAAAUUUGAUCAUUUGUGUUGGAUUGAUGUUUAAAUUUAAAUUUUUUAUUUAAUUGGUUAAAUUUAAAAUUGAGUAUGUUAUGUGAAAUUUGAGGUUAUUAUUGUAAAUUUAUAUAUUGAAUGUACAAACCCGCAAAAAAUUUGUCAGAUAUCAUUGCAGGUUUGGUAAUUGUCAAAACCCUCAGUGGGUGGAUUUUCUUAAAAAAAUUAAAACCCGCUGCGAGCGGCGCCCAUUACCAUCCCUAACCAGUUCAUAUCUUUUUCCUAUAUAAACACUCUGCUUGAAUUGUCUCUUAGUGUCAAUUACAUUUAUCUCUUUUUUACAAACUACUCCAAUUCAAAAUCUCUAUGUUCUUCCAUUUCACCAAACUUUCUCGAGAAAAAUUUUAAUUUAAUGAAUCUUUUUUCUCUUUUCUAUAGAUUUACACAAAAAGAAAAAUGUAAUUUCAGUCUAAUGAAGAGAAUUAUAUAAUUGCAGUGUGUUGAGAAAAGAGAAAAAUUAUGUACUCCUUCAUUUAUUUAAAAAAAAACACAUUAAAGAUCUAAAGCAUAUAUUUAAAAAUACUACAAAAUUAAAUACAUUGCAUUAGAUUGUAUUUAUUUUAGCAUAUCCUUAACUUUAAUAUAGAUAAUAAUUUCUAAUUGAAAAAAAAUGAUGAUGAUGAUGAUAAUAAUA
This 4979-nucleotide long non-coding RNA is filed under the name Citrus x clementina. Its description in RNAcentral is "Citrus clementina (C. clementina) long non-coding RNA (CCLE_LNC001426)". The record is from RNAcentral. Lineage: Eukaryota; Viridiplantae; Streptophyta; Magnoliopsida; Sapindales; Rutaceae.